AUUGAACGCUGGCGGCAUGCCUUACACAUGCAAGUCGAACGGUAACAGGUUAAGCUGACGAGUGGCGAACGGGUGAGUAAUAUAUCGGAACGUGCCCAGUCGUGGGGGAUAACGUAGCGAAAGUUACGCUAAUACCGCAUACGAUCUACGGAUGAAAGCGGGGGAUCGCCAGACCUCGCGCGAUUGGAGCGGCCGAUAUCAGAUUAGGUAGUUGGUGGGGUAAAGGCUCACCAAGCCAACGAUCGGUAGCUGGUCUGAGAGGCCGACCAGCCACACUGGAACUGAGACACGGUCCAGACUCCUACGGGAGGCAGCAGUGGGGAAUUUUGGACAAUGGACGCAAGUCUGAUCCAGCCAUUCCGCGUGCAGGAUGAAGGCCCUCGGGUUGUAAACUGCUUUUGUACGGAACGAAAAGGUUUCCAUUAAUACUGGGAGCUCAUGACGGUACCGUAAGAAUAAGCACCGGCUAACUACGUGCCAGCCGCCGCGGUAA
This 493-nucleotide ribosomal RNA is filed under the name uncultured bacterium. RNAcentral's name for it is "partial 16S ribosomal RNA". It matches the Rfam family "Bacterial small subunit ribosomal RNA", at positions 30 to 523 of the family's 1533-position model. The record is from RNAcentral.